GCUCAGAUUGAACGCUGGCGGUAGGUUUUAUACAUGCAAGUCGAGCGGUAACAGACAUUUUUGAUUCAGCUUGCUGAAUCUUGUGCUGACGAGCGGCGAACGGGUGAGUAACGCGUAGGAAUCUGCCCAGUAGCGGGGGAUAGCCCGAGGAAACUCGGAUUAAUACCGCAUACGCCCUAAGGGGGAAAGAAGGCCUCUCCUUGGAAGCUUUCACUAUUGGAUGAGCCUGCGUAAGAUUAGUUUGUUGGUGAGGUAAUGGCUCACCAAGGCGACGAUCUUUAGCUGGUCUGAGAGGGCGACCAGCCACAUUGGGACUGAGACACGGCCCAGACUCCUACGGGAGGCAGCAGUAAAGAAUCUUGGACAAUGGGGGAAACCCUGAUCCAGCCAUACCGCGUGUGUGAAGAAGGCCUUAGGGUUGUAAAGCACUUUAAGCAACCAGGAAGAAAAGUAAGUUAAUACCUUAUUUUUUUGACAUUAAUUGCAGAAUAAGUACCGGCUAACUCCGUGCCAGCAGCCGCGGUAAUACGGAGGGUACAAGCGUUAAUCGGAAUUACUGGGCGUAAAGCGCGCGUAGGCGGCUAAGCAAGUUGGGUGUGAAAGCCCAGGGCUCAACCCUGGAACUGCAUUCAAAACUAUUUAGCUAGAGUACGAGAGAGGAGAGUAGAAUUUCUGGUGUAGCGGUGAAAUGCGUAGAUAUCAGAAGGAAUACCAAUGGCGAAGGCAGCUCUCUGGAUCGUCACUGACGCUAAGGUGCGAAAGCGUGGGUAGCAAACAGGAUUAGAUACCCUGGUAGUCCACGCCGUAAACGAUGAGAACUAGCCGUUGGGAGGGAUUAACCUUUCAGUGGCGCAGCUAACGCAUUAAGUUCUCCGCCUGGGGACUACGGCCGCA
This 894-nucleotide ribosomal RNA is filed under the name uncultured bacterium. RNAcentral describes it as "bacterial SSU rRNA". It matches the Rfam family "Bacterial small subunit ribosomal RNA", at positions 22 to 890 of the family's 1533-position model. The record is from RNAcentral.